RNAcentral lists this long non-coding RNA (19524 nucleotides) under Vitis vinifera (wine grape). RNAcentral's name for it is "long non-coding RNA (VVIN_LNC003931)". The record is from RNAcentral. Lineage: Eukaryota; Viridiplantae; Streptophyta; Magnoliopsida; Vitales; Vitaceae.
AAGUUUUUCUACCCCCACAUCCAAAUCACUUUCGAUGAAUACGGCAGAGGUCAUUUCAUGCGCCAUGAAUUCUACACCGCCAUCGAGACCUACCUCAGCUCCAAUACCGCCGACCAAGCCAACAGCCUCAAAGCCAACACCGCCAAAAACAACCAGUCACUGGUUCUCACCAUUGAUGACGGUGAAGAGGUUGAAGAUGAGUUUGAGGGAGUGAAGCUGUGGUGGACUUCAAGGACGAUCACAGCCGAAACUCAGACCUCCCGCUCCUAUGAGCAGCCGGAUGAGAAGAGGUACUACCGGCUGACUUUCCACAAGAAACACCGGGAUUUGAUCACCAAGAAGUACCUCAGUCAUGUGUUGAGGGUAGGGAAGGCGAUUAAGGUCAGAACCCGGCAGCGGAAGCUUUAUACCAACAGUUGGUCGAUGUGGAGCCAUGUGGUCUUUGAUCACCCUGCAACUUUUCAAACUCUUGCCAUGGAGGCUGAUAAGAAGAGGGAGGUGAUCGAGGACUUGGUUUCUUUCAGCAAGGCUGAGGAUUUCUACGCAAGAAUUGGGAAAGCUUGGAAGCGGGGUUACCUCCUUUAUGGCCCUCCAGGGACGGGAAAAUCUACCAUGAUUGCUGCCAUGGCGAAUCUGUUGCUGUACGACGUCUAUGAUCUUGAACUGACGGCGGUCAGUGACAACACCGAGCUGAGGAAGCUGCUGAUGCAGAUUCCGAGCAAGUCCAUCACUGUGAUUGAGGACAUCGACUGCUCCCUCAACUUGACGGGUCAGAGGAAGAAGAUGAAGGAGAACAAGGCGGCCGAGGAGGAAGAGAAGGACCCCAUUAAAAAACAAGCGAAGGUAGGAGACUCUGAUGAAGGGAAAACCAGCAAGGUGACUCUUUCCGGGCUGUUGAACUUCAUUGACGGCCUUUGGUCGGCCUCAAAGGGGGAAAGGCUAAUAGCGUUCACGACGAACCACAUGGAGAAGCUCGACCCAGCUCUGAUUCGGCGAGGAAGGAUGGACAAGCACAUCGAAUUAUCAUACUGUAGCUUUGAAUCAUUCAAGGUGCUGGCUAAGAACUAUCUGGAGCUUGAUUCCCACUACCUGUUCGACACGAUUGAGAGGCUGUUGGGGGAAAGUAAAGUGACCCCAGCUGAUGUUGCUGAGCAUUUGAUGCGUAAGAAUACAAGUGUGGCUGAUGCUGAAACAAGCUUGAAGAGCCUGGUUCAGGCAUUGGAGAUGGCCAAGAAAGAAGCAAUGUUGAAGGCCAAGGAAGAAGGCAAAGAGGAGUCAUCUGCUAGGGAAGAAGAUUGAUGAUCACUGACAAUAGAGACUGUGAUUGUGUUUAUCAUUCUGAAUUAAUUCCUGGGAAUUAUGAAAUAUUGGUCAAGUUAAUAGUUUGGUAAUUGAGGUUAAUGGGAAAUGCAUAUGGUGACCAAUUCUGAAGAUCUUUUCUAGGGCUUAAGACAUGGGAAAGGACUAGAGAAAUGAGAGAUGAAGAUAUUGGGAGGAAAGGAUAAGAGAAAUGAAAGGGGGAAGUUUGUGCCUAAUGAAUAUUUUUACAACGGAAGAAUGAAUGCCGAACACUUCUUUUAUGGAAAUUGAACAAGUUAGUAAUAUAAACAUUGUUCGAGCCCUUUGAUAGUGAUUUUAAAAAAUAUUUUUAAUAUUUAAAAAAUUUUAUUAUUCAAGUUUUAAAAAUAUUAAAAACGUUUUCUACUAACCUUAUCAAACAUAUUUUUCAUUUACUAAUAAAAAAAAGUGUUUUUCAAUAGUUGCAAUCAUACUUGGUUUGACUAUGCUUUUAGAUAACAUAUAUAAUAUCAAUAACAUUUAUCAAGAAAUCAAACAUUUGAAAAGAUUAAUAUUUUGAAAGUAAGGUAAAUAUCUAUUUUUUAAUAUAUUUUUAUAAUAUAAUAAGGCCUAUGAUUUAAUAAUUUAAAAUUUUAAAAAUGAAUUUUAACCAUAUUAAAUAAAAAAAUAAUAUUAAAAUAAUUUAUUUAAGUUGUUUAAUUCCAUAUGGAAAAAAAGAUUAAAUUUUUUUGAAUUAUUUAAUUUUUAUAUAAAAGAGAAAAAUAAAUAAAUUAUUUUUAGAAAUCAAAUUAUAAUUGGAAAUUAAAUAUGAAAAACAUUUUUUUGAAUUUUUUUUGUAUAAACAUAUUAUAAAUUUAGCAUAGUAUAAAAAUACUCAAUCUUACUUAAUUUAAAGUUCAUUAAUUUUUUUUAAAAAAAUAUAAUUAUAUGUAAAGGGAAAAACUAAUAAACUUAUUCAAAUUGAAUUUUGGUUUCUAACUUUUUAAUGUUAACUGUAUCAAUUUUGAGUUCAUAACUGUAGUAUUAAUUGAUUCGAUUUUAAAAUUUUAAAUUAUUUUUAAAAAUUAAUGAAUUUUAUAUAUAAAGUCUUACUUGAUUUGUCUUAAGAAAAAGAAAAAAUAGAUAAGUUAAAGGAGAAUUUUAUUAAAAUACAUAUAAUUUAAAGUGAGACCAUAUUUAAAGAUUUUCUGUAUCAUUAUUGGGUAAUGAAGGAAAAUGUAUGAAGAAAGAUACAAUGCUAUACUAUUUUUUGCUUUUUAUGAUUUUUUUUUUCUAAAUUUUUCUUUUCUUUUUAAUAACUAGUGAAAACAAAUUUUAUUUAUCUUUUAAAAAUUAUUUUCUAUUUCCCUUGUUUCUAAAAACAGUUAAAACAAGCACUUUUUGGAUGCAACACCUAGAAGGACAAUCUCCUCCUAGCUUCCUUCCUUCAUGGCUUCCCAUUAGUAGCCUAUGGUUUAACCAAUGACCGUUUGCAUAUGGCAUAAAAAUAAAAGAAAGAAAAAACAUUAAACUUAGAGUUGUUAGUUGCUCAAUAAACCUUUUGUGUAGGUUCCUAAACUUAUAUUUUGUUUUUGAGAAGUAAUAACGUUAUGUUUGAUUUCUGAAAGUAUAAAAAUCAAAAACUAAGAAAAAUGACUUUCUCGUGUUGGAUUUAUAAUAAAAAAUACAAAAAUAAAAUAAAAUAACUAAAAUAAGUUAAAAAUGUAUUUAUUUUGAAAAUAUUUAAUCUUUAUAAAAAAAGAAAAAAAUUAAAAUGAGUUUAAAGAAAUAUAUAAAAAUGAAUAUUAACAUUAAUUUUUAUUUUUAUUUUUUUCUCUUAUAUUUUUUUCUCAAAAUUUCUAAAAUCCAAGUAGAGUAUAAAGGAAAUAAAAAUUAUUUUCUCACUAUGUAUCAUACAAAAUACGAGAGAAAAUAAAAUAUAAUUAAAAAUAAUUAAAACUUAUAUGUCUUGAAAUUAUUUAAUUUUUUUUUAUAUAAACCAUGAAAAAUAAGUGAAAUAAGUUUUAAAAAUAUAUAAAAUAAUUUAUUAAAUUUAAAUUUAUUUUUUAUUUUCUUUAAUAUUUUCUUUAAUGCAAAAUACCUGCAGAUAGAAUUUCCUCAAGGAUGGCAUAGAGUGGAAUGCUCCAUGAAGUGUGGCCCACGCAGGCCCAACGUCACAAUCAAGGACCAUGCCGUCCCGAGCCCAAGCCCAAGUCCAAGCUAAACCGAAAGCUAAGGGAGGGCCCAAUCCGAGGAACAUAGCCCAUCAUGGAAUCUAAAACCAACCCAUGAAUUAAUGGCUCGUGCUCAAUUGCUAAUUCAUGAUUAACCAUUGUUUUAGUUGCCAACAAAGGUUAAGCCCUGAGUCAAUUUGUGCUAAUCCCAUCCGCACAACAAUUUUGACCAAAAUACCAUUUUUUUAAUAUUUAUUUAAGCAUGAUAUAUUUUCAAAACUAAUAAUUAACUUACAUAACUUUUUGAGAAAUUAAUUGAAAAUCGACAUCAAUUCAAAUAUUGAAGCUGGUCGGCUUUUCAACUUUUUCCACUUUUUUUGACUCUAAUCGAUAAUAAUUGAAUUAGACAAAAUUCUAAGAUUUUAAUAUAUAUAUAUAUAUAUAUAUAUAUAUUUUUAAUAACUAUGGAUGUCCGGAGCAGCUUAUGUUGGUCUGGACUAAUCCCAUGAGGUCCUGAAGUUAAGGGCCUGAAGUUAAGGGUGAGAAAUUAACUGAAAAUCGACAUCAAUUCAAAUAUUGAAGUUGGUCGGCCUUUUAACUUUUUCCGCUUUUUUUUUUUACUCUAACCGAUAAUAAUUGAAUUAGACAAAUAUUCUAAGAUUUUAAUAUGUUUUUUUAUUAUUUAUUUAAUAAUUGUGGAUGUCCGGAGCAGCUUAUGCUGGCAUGGACUAAUCCCAUGGGGCUCUGAAGUUAAGGGUCGGGUAAACCUCCAAUGGCCCUAAGGGGACUUGAACUGGUGACCAUUGGAGAGCAAAUCCAAGGUCGGACCAACAAAGUUACUCCCUAAGAUUAUAAAAUUUUCAUAUCUUAUUUGAUGUUUGACGAAUUUUUUUAUUAUUUAUUAGUAUAUAUAUUUGUAAAUACUAUUAAAAUAAUUCAUUGUUGCUAGACUAUAUUCAAAUUAAUUUGUAAGUACAUUUAUUAUAUUUCAAACUAAAAACUUUAAGGUUACGUUUGGUUCCGAAAAGUAUAAGAGAAAGAAAAAAAAAUGUUGGGUUAUAUUUGGUUUUUGAAAAAUGCUGUAGAAAGAAAAAAGUAUUAAAGUAAAUUAUUUUUUCAUAUUAGGUUUUAUUAUAGAAAAUAUAAAAGAAAAUUAAAUAUAAUUAAAAUUAAUUUGAAAUUUACAUGUUUUUAAAUUAUUUAAUUUUACUAUAAUGGAGAGAAAAAAGUAAAAUGAGUUUAAAGAAAUGUAUAAAAAUAAUUUAUUAAAUUAUUUUUUUUUCUUCACUUUUUUUUUUUUUACUUUUCCUCUCUAUUUUAUUUUCUUCACAUUUUCUUGAGAAUUUUAUGGGAACGGAACAUAACUUUAAUGAAAUCAAAUAUUUAGCCCCGCAUUAAUAUUCGAGAUACAUUUUCAAAAUUCAUAUUUUUGUUCAUAAACAUUAUGCAUUAUAUUAUUGUCGAGCAUCAUAAGUUAUACAUAUUAAUUUUUUAAUAUAACGACUUCAAUAUAUCUAUUAUAAUUAUUUGUUUUAUCAUUUUUAGAAGUUUUUUUUUAAUUAAAGAAACAUAAAUAAAAAUAACAAAUGAGAAGAACACGAGAACUAUUUGAUAAAAUUUUAUAUUUGGUCACCUGUAUUUAAUCCAAUCAAAUUAACCUUUUACAUAAAAGGUCUGACUACAAUAUUGAAGGUACUUUAAAAAAACAUUAUCAAUCAAAUAAUACCGUAUAUAUAAAUUAUGGUCUCACUAUUUAUACUUUGGUUUUAUUUGUUUGUAUUUUUAUAUUUUUAUGAUAUUCAUAUGUAUACUCUUGUUUAAUGAUUUAAAUUUCAUUAUUUAUAUUUUGACGAUUAUUUAUAUUAAAGAGCAUGAUAUGAAUAUCGAAUUUAAACGAGAUAAGUUAAGGUUUUUAGAAAAAUUGAGAGAUGAACGUGGCAUUAGGAUUUGGUAGACGUGAACCUCAUGGGUUUGAACCACCAUCUCUAGAUGGAUUGCAACAUGAUGUAGUGCCAUGACACAUUGAAAUGACGCAAUGACUGCCGUCCAUUCACUUGCUAACUAGUCAGCUACAACACUCCCCAUUUAUUAAAUUAGAUAUAGAGAAGAUACAAAUUUCUCAAAGGUCGGUCAUAUUUAAUAAUAAUAAUAAUAAAUGUCACAGCAUUUCCAUCCACCUUUUUUCACACCUAUUGGUAAGGGUAGGAGCGUGGCUGACUCGACCUCAUCUUCCUAGUGGGCACCAGCGGACAAAGCUCCACUCGAUUACGAAGAACCAACUAUAGUGUGAGACAGGCCUAUUCGUUUGGUCAUGGAGUGGAUGUUUCGACUUGGAAGGAAAAAAAGGGAGGAAGGGAGGAGGACCCACAGUCCAGUGUCGUCGAAAUAUGGUCUAUAUGAGUUGCAUGUAUGGCACCCUAGCUGUAUUUUUUCACGAGGCAGAGAAUAUUUCCAGCGACUUUGAAGUCGUUUUCCACUCGUAUAUGGCAGCAGGGAGUGGUGGGUGCAAAUGACUCAUCUUUGAUGGGAUGUGCCGGGAAAGUCGUGUGAAUCCAAGAUUUAUAAAUAUAUAAAGUUACCAAGCUUUGGUCAUGUUUGCUAACUUUGCUGCCAAGUUGAUAGAAAAUAGAUGGCUUUAAGUACGUUUUCUAGUUGUUUUUAUUUCUUUUUGGAUAAUUAAUUUAAAAUAUAUAUAUAUAUAUAUAUAUAAUUUACAAAAACAUUUCAAGUUACUAAAUAAACUUUUAUUCUGUAAAACAUUCUUUCAAAAAAUUAUGAUGGUGUUUGGUAAUGGUUUUUUAAAAUAAUUUUGAAAAAUGGUUUUUUUAGAAAAUUGUUAUUUGAUUUUUUGUAAAACAAAAAUUUGUUUCGAAAUCUAAAAUGUUUUUAAUCUAUUUUUAAUAUUUUAAAAAUAUUUUUUCUUUAUAUCUAAAACUUUAUUUUUAAUCAUUAUAAAUGUUUGUAUGAGUAUUUUUUUAAAACAGUUCUUAAAAAAUAAAUGAAAACAAUUAAAAAAAAACUAAAAGAUGUUUUAUAAAAAUAAAAAAUUAUUCUAAAAAAUAGUUAUUAAAUAAAACCUUUACUUUGAUAUAAAAACAAAAUAACGAAGGAGAAAGAAGAGGCACUAAAAAGGUUUAUUUGAUGAAAAAGUUCAUUGAAAAUAAUGAUUUUCCUUCUUUGAAAAAAUUGAAAUUAUAACUUCUUUCAAUAAAAAUAUCUUUUAACAAUUUUUGAAUUUUUAUCCCUCAUUAAACAGUUUUUUGGAUAAAAAGUUGAAGGGGUAAAAAUGCCAAAAUGAGGUUAUAUAUAUGUAAUUUGCAAUACAUAAAAGUUAUAUUUUUUUCAACAUUUUCGCAUCCUUUAUAAUCCAAUAUUUCGAUGAAAAACUAUUUUUCGAACUUGAAAAUAAGUUUGAUAAUUCUUUGAUAGAAAAUUUAUUUUGAAAAUGUGGCAUUUUUUGAGAAUAUUUUUUUUUUUUUUCAAUUAUUUUGGGUAUUAUAAAUAAAAGUUAUUUUAAAAAAAUAUUUAAAAGUUAAGUUAUAAACAGACUUAACUGUUUUUGAAAUUUUUUUACAAAGAAGAUGAUUUCUUUUUAUCCGACAUUAUAAAAGUGAAGAAAAUAAUAUGAGAAAAAAGAGAGGAAAAUAUUAAGGGAAAAAUGAAGAGGAAAAAUAUGAGGGACAAAAAUAAAAAGAAAAUUUUUGUUUAGUUGAAUAAAGGAAAAACAAUAUUAAAUCAUUUAAAGAAAAUAUUCCUUGGUAUUACUUUCAUAGCUUUUUCUUUGAUAUAAAAAAAAAGAAAAAAAAAUCAUUUUCCUUAACUCUUUUUUCAUACAUCCAAAUAUUAGAAAAUGAUUGCUUUUAGAUUAUUUUUUUUCAUUUCUUAUUACUUUUCAAAAAUCAAACAUAAUUUUAGAUAAAUGUAAAAAAAAAAAAAGAAGCAAAAUUUAUAAAAUAAAAUUUAUCCACUAAAAUUCAUAUUAAAAAUAAAAUUUCAAAUAUUAAGGGUUUGUUUGACAACUGUUUUCAAGAAUAGUUUUAUAUUUUUUAGAACAAAAAAAUUGUAAAACAUAUUUGGCAACCAAAAAACCAUUUUAUGUUUUAUGUUCCCAAAAUUAGAAAAUAUGAGAUUUUCAAAAAAUAUCUUUUAGUUAUUUUCAAUUAUUUUUUGUUGUUUUUGGAAAACUGUUUUAAAAAAUAAUUAUAAAAACAUGUAUAAUAAUUAAAAAUAAAUCUCUAGAUAUAAAAAUUAUUUUUAAAACAUAUUUAAAAAUAUUAAAAAUAGGUUAAAAAUUUUUCAGGUUUUCAAAUAGACUUUUAUUCUAGAAAACAUCAAAGAAUAAUUUAAAAAAAAUUUUAAAUCUAUUUUUAAAAACAGUUAUCAAACAUGACCUAAUCUUCUAACAUUAUGAGCACAUAAAGAGAUAGAGAAAACACUUUCCAUAUUUCAAAAGUCUUAUGAAUCUAAGAAAAUGUUAAAAAUAGGAGAAAAAAAAGUAAAAAAAAAAUGUAAAUUCUUUUAUUUAUUUAUUUUAUGACAAAAAAUAAGAAUUAAAAUUAAAUAUAAUAAAAUUUAUUUAAAAUUUUAUAGAUAUUCAAAUACUAAUUUAUAUAUAUAUAAGAGAAGGGUAAAAAUAGAAAAAUAAGGCAUGUUUGGUAACUGUUUUCGGAAAUAGUUUUGAAAAAUAAUUUUUUGAAAACUGUUCUUUGAUAUUUUGUAAAAUAAAAGUAUGUUUGCAAACGUAAUUUUUUUUAAUAUUUUAAAAUAUGUUUUAAAAGUAAUUUUUAUAUCUAAUAUAUUUUAUUUUUAAUUAUUCUACAUGUUUGUAUAAUUAUUUUUUAACAUAGUUCUCAGAAAAUAUGUGAAAACAAUAAAAAAUAAUCAAAAGAUAUUAUCUAAAAACACUAUUAAAAACAUAAAAUAGAAAAUAGUUUUUGGUUAUAAAACAUAUUUUCAUAGUUUUUUUGUUUUGAAGAAUAGAAAACUAUUUUAAAAAAUAGUUAUCAAACAAACCCAAGAAAUUAACGAUACUUCUUUAUCUUUUGAGUUGUUCUGCCAAAUUGGUCUCUUAAGACCUUUGGUUUCUGCCUAGACCGAUGAAAAAAAUGGGAUCACUUCUUAUGGACUUGUUGAAAAUGAUUCUGAUAUAGUUUACAACUUAUUAGAAAAAAAAAAAAUCGAUCUAGUGAGAUUCUCAUGAAUAGAAAAAAAUGGUAGUCAAUUUGAUAACGAUGAUAUUACUUUUUCAGAACUAAGGAAUACCUUAUAUAUAAUGUUUAGAAAAUCAAAUUUACAUAAUAAAAACUUUAUGAAUAUUCUGAAAUAAUUUUAAAAAAUAGUUUUUAAAAAUAUUUUUCAAUUAUUUUCAAGAUUAAAUUUGGAAACUCAAAUAAAAUAUUUAAAAAACAUUUUUUUCUUGCAUGAUACAAUUUUAAAAGCAUUAUCUUUAUUUUAGUUGUAAUUAACAAUUUAUAAAAUAAUACAACUAAAAUACCUGAACUUUAAAAAAUAAUUCGCUUGGAGAGUAAUUAAUUUUUUUUUAAAUAUAAAAAAGUGUUUUAAUUAGAAAAUUAUUUUCUAUUUCAGAUGAGGGGUUUUAUGUACUUUCCUUCCUCUUUCUUUCCCAUUUCCAUACCUUUUUCUCAAUCCUGUGGACAUCCAAGCAGAGCGUCUAUAUAAGGAGAUAUAACACAUCCCCUGAGUAUGGGGACACGUGAGAAGACAAAGACAAGGGAAGAAAAUGGGGGAGACGCUGGGGAAUUUGGGGUCUGUAAUGGCGACAUUGAUGUUCAUCUGGGCUAUGUUCCGGCAAUACUUCCCUUGCGACCUCAUCGAAAAAUACUCCCACAGAUUGAUGAAGUUUUUCUACCCUCACAUCCAAAUCACUUUCGAUGAAUACGGCAGAGGUCAUUUCAUGCGCCAUGAAUUCUACACCGCCAUCGAGACCUACCUCAGCUCCAAUACCGCCGACCAAGCCAACCGCCUCAAAGCCAACACCGCCAAAAACAACCAGUCACUGGUUCUCACCAUUGAUGACGGUGAAGAGGUUGAAGAUGAGUUUGAGGGAGUGAAGCUGUGGUGGACUCCAAGGACGAUCACAGCCGAAACUCGGACCUCCCGCUCCUAUGAGCAGCCGGAUGAGAAGAGGUACUACCGGCUGACUUUCCACAAGAAACACCGGGAUUUGAUCACCAAGAAGUACCUCAGUCAUGUGUUGAGGGUAGGGAAGGCGAUUAAGGUCAGAACCCGGCAGCGGAAGCUUUAUACCAACAGUUGGUCGAUGUGGAGCCAUGUGGUUUUUGAUCACCCUGCAACUUUUCAAACGCUUGCCAUGGAGGCUGAUAAGAAGAGGGAGCUGAUCGAGGACUUGGUUUCUUUCAGCAAGGCUGAAGAUUUCUAUGCAAGAAUUGGGAAAGCUUGGAAGCGGGGUUACCUCCUUUAUGGCCCUCCUGGGACGGGAAAAUCUACCAUGAUUGCUGCCAUGGCGAAUCUGUUGCUGUACGACGUCUAUGAUCUUGAACUGACGGCGGUCAGUGACAACACCAUGCUGAGGAAGCUGCUGAUGCAGAUUCCGAGCAAGUCCAUCACUGUGAUUGAGGACAUCGACUGCUCCCUCAACUUGACGGGUCAGAGGAAGAAGAUGAAGGAGAACAAGGCGGCCGAGGAGGAAGAGAAGGACCCCAUUAAAAAACAAGCGAAGGUAAGAGACUCUGAUGAAGGGAAAACCAGCAAGGUGACUCUCUCCGGGCUGUUGAACUUCAUUGACGGCCUUUGGUCGGCCUCCAAGGGGGAAAGGCUAAUAGUGUUCACGACGAACUACAUGGAGAAGCUCGACCCAGCUCUGAUUCGGCGAGGAAGGAUGGACAAGCACAUCGAAUUGUCAUACUGCAGCUUUGAAUCAUUCAAGGUGCUGGCGAAGAACUAUCUGGAGCUUGAUUCCCACCACCUGUUCGACACGAUUGAGAGGCUGUUGGGGGAAAGUAAAGUGACCCCAGCUGAUGUUGCUGAGCAUUUGAUGCCUAAGACAAGUGUGGCUGAUGUUGAAACAAGCUUGAAGAGCCUGGUUCAGGCAUUGGAGAUGGCCAAGGAAGAAGCAAUGUUGAAGGCCAAGGAAGAAGGCAAAGACAAGGAAGAAGGCAAAGAGGAGUCAUCUGCUAGGGAAGAAGAUUGAUGAUCAUUGGCAAUAGAGACUAUGAUUGUGUUUAUCCUUCUGAAUUAAUUCCUGGGAAUUAUGAAAUAUUGGUCAAGUUAAUAGUUUGGUAAUUGAGGUUAAUGGGAAAUGCAUAUGGUGACCAAUUCUGAAGAUCUUUUCUAGGGCUUAAGACAUGGGGGGAAAGGACAAGAGAAAUGAAAGGGGGAAAGUUUGUGCCUAAUGAAUAUUUUUACAGCAGGAGGAUGAAUGCCGAUCACUUCUAUUAUGGAAAUUGAAGACAUAAGUAAUAUAAACGUUAUUUGAGUUUGUUUGACGGUGAUUUUAGAAAGCAUUUUUAACAUUUUUAACAUUUGAAAAUUUUUAUCAUUCAAGUAUUAAAAAUGUUAUCAACGUUUUCUAUCAUUCUUAUUAAACAUACUUUUCAUUUAAUAAAAGAAAGUGUUUUUCAAUAGUUGCAGUCAUACUUGGUUUGACUAUGUUUGUAGAGAACAUUUAUAAUAUAAAUAACAUUUAUCAAGAAAUCAAACAUUUGAAAAGAUUAAUAUUUUGAAAGUAAGGUAAAUAUCUAUUUUUUUAAUAUAUUUUUAGAAUAUAAUAAGGCCUAUGAUUUAAUAAUUUAAAAUUUUAAAAAUGAAUUUUAACCAUAUUAAAUAAAAAAUCAUAUUAAAAUAAUUUAUUUAAGUUGUUUAAUUCCAUAUGGAAAAAAAGAUUAUUAUUUUUUAAUUAUUUAAUUUUUUAUAAAAGAGAAAAAAUAAUUUUUUUUAGGAAUCAAAUUAUAAUUGGAAAUUAAAUAUGAAAAACAUUUUUUUUGAAUUUUUUUUUUGUAUAAACGUAUUAUAAAUUUAGCAUAGUAUAAAAACACUCAAUCUUACUUAAUUUAAAGUUCAUUAAAAAAAAUUAAAAAAUAUAAUUAUAUGUAAAGGGAAAAACUAACAAACUUAUUCAAAUUGAAUUUUGGUUUAUGACUUUUUAAUGUUAAUCGUAUCAAUUUUGAGUUCAUAAUUGUAGUAUUAAUUGAUUCGAUUUUAGAAUUUUAAAUUAUUUUUAAAAAUGACUGAAUUUUAUAUAUAAAGUCUUAUUUGAUUUGAAAUAUAUUUGCCUUAAGAAAAAGAAAAAAUAGAUAAGUUGAAGGAGAAUUUUAUUAAAAUACAUAUAAUUUAAUACGAGACCAUAUUUAAAGAUUUCCGUAUCAUUAUUGGGUAAUGAGAGAAAAUGUAAGAAGAAAGAUACAAUGCUAUACUAUUUUUUUCUUUUUAUGAUUUUUUUUCUAAAUUUUUCUUUUCUUUUUAAAAACUAGUGAAAACAAAUUUUAUUUAUCUUUUAAAAAUUAUUUUCUAUUUCCCUUGCUUCUAAAAACAGUUAAAACAAGCACUUUUUGGAUGCAACACCUAGAAGGACAAUCUCCUCCUAGCUUCCUUCAUUCAUGGCUUCCCAUUAGUAGCUAUCUUUUCGCUAACUUCCACCGCGGUUUAACCAAUGACCGUCAACAUAUGGCAUAAAAAUAAAAAUAAGAAAAAACAUUAAAUUUAGAGUUAUUAGUUGCUCAAGAAACCUUUUGUGUUGGUUCCUAAAGUUAUAUUUUGUUUUUGACGUUAUGUUUGAUUUCUGAAAGUAUAAAAAUAAAAAACUAAGAAAAAUGUAUUUUUUGGAUUUAUAAUAAAAAUACAAAAAUAAAAUAAAAUAACUAAAAUGAGUAAAAAAUGUAUCUAUUUUGAAAAUAUUUAAUCUUUAUAAAAAAAAGAAAAAAAAUUGAAAUGAGUUUGAAGAAACAUAUAAAAAUAAAAAUUAAUAUUAAUUUUUAUUUUUAUUUUUUUCCCUUACAUUUUUUUCUCAAAAUUUCUAAAAUCCAAGUAGAGUAUAAAGGAAAUAAAAAUUAUUAAAAAAAAAUUAUUUUCUCACGAUGUAUCAUACAAAAUACGAGAGAAAAUAAAAUAUAAUUAAAAAUAAUUAAAACUUAUAUGUUUUCAAAUUAUUUAAUUUUUUUUAUAUAAACCAUGAAAAAUAAGUGAAAUAAGUUUUAAAAAUAUAUAAAAAUAAUUUAUUAAAUUUAAAUUUAUUUUUUAUUUUCUUUAAUUUUUUCUUUAAUGCAAAAUACCUGCAGAUAGAAUUUCCUCAAGGAUGGCAUAGAGUAGAAUGCUCCAUGAAGUGUGGCCCAGGCAGGCCCAACGACACAAUCAAGGACCAUGCCGUCCCGAGCCCAAGCCCAAGUCCAAGCUAAACUGAAAGCUAAGGGAGGGCCCAAUCCGAGAACGUAGCCCAUCAUGGAACCCAUAAGAGAAAACCAACCUAUGAAUUAAUGGCUCAUGCUCAAUUGCUAAUUCAUGAUUAACCAUUGUUUUAGUUGCCAACCAAGGUUAAGCCCUGAGUCAAUUUGUGCUUAUCACAUCCGCACAACAAUUUUGACCAAAAUACCAUUUUUUUUAAAUAUUUAUUUAAGCAUGAUAUAUUUUCAAAACUAAUAAUAAAUUUACAUAACUUUUUGAGAAAUUAACUGAAAAUCUUUUUUUUUUUCAAAGUACGACAUCAAUUCAAAUAAUGAAGUUGGUCGACUUCCCAUUAUAUUUUUUCCAACUAGUAUAGAUGGGGGAAGACUUUGAAAUUACCUUUUCCGCUUUUUUUUUACUCUAAUCGAUAGUAAUUGAAUUAGACAAAUAUUCUAAGAUUUUUAUUUUUUUUUAAUAACCGUGGAUGUCCGAGUUAGCUUAUGCUGGCCUCGACUAAUCUCAUGGGGCCUUGAAGUUAAGGGUCGGGACUCGAACUGGUGACCAUUGGGGAGCCAACCCAAGGUCAGACCAACUAAGUUAUCCCUCAAGAUUCUAAGAUUUUCAUAUCUUAUUUGAUGUUUGACGAUUUUUUAUUAUUAUUUAUUAGUAUAUAUAUUUUGUAAAUUCUAUUAACAUAAUUCAUUGUUGCUAGACUAUAUUCAAAUUAAUUUGUAAGCACAUUUAUUAUAUUUCAAACUAAAAAAUUUAAGGUUAUGCUUAGUUCCAGAAAGUACAAAAGAAAGAAAAAAAAUGUUGGACUAUAUUUGGUUUCUAAAAAAUGCUGAUGAAAGAAAAAAAUGUUAAAGUAAAUUAUUUUUUCAUAUUAGGUUAUAUUAUAGAAAAUGUAAAAGAAAAUUAAAUAUAAUUAAAAUUAAUUUGAAAUUUAUAUGUUUUUAAAUUAUUUAAUUAUGCUACAAUGGAGAGAAAAAAGUAAAAUGAGUUUAAAAAAUUGUAUAAAAAUAAUUUAUUAAAUUUAAACUUUUUUUUCUUCACUUGUUUUUUUUUUCUACUUUUCCUCUCUAUUUCCUUUUUUUCGCAUUUUCCUUCAAAUUUCCUGAGAACGAAACAUAACUUUAAUGAAAUCAAAUAUUUAGCCCACAUUAAUAUUCGAUAUACUUUUUCAAAAUUCAUAUUUUUGUUCAUAAACAUUAUAUAUUAUAUUAUUGUUGAACAUCAUAAGUUAUAUAUAUAUAUAUAUAUAUAUUUAAUAUAAGGACUUCAAUAUAUCUAUUAUAAUUAUUUGUUUUAUCAUUUUUAGAAGUUUUUUUUAAUUAAAGAGACAUAAAUAAAAAUAACAAAUGAGAAGAACACAAGAACUACAGUUUUGAAGGUACUUUAAAAAAAACCACUAAUCAGCUAAUACCAUAUAUAUAAUUUAUGGUCUCAUUACUUCAUACUUUGGUUUUAUUCUAUGAUUAUUUAUAUUAAAGAGCAUGUAUAUUGAAGUUAAAUUGAGAGAUGACGUGAACUUAAUGGGUUUGAGCCACCAUCUAUAGAUGGAUUGCAACAUGAUGUAGUGUCAUGACACAAUGAUAUGACGCAAUGGCUGCCGACAAGGCGUCAGCUACAACACUUCCCCAUUUAUUAAAUUAGAUAUAGAGAAGAUCGAUAAUGUUUAAAAAUAAUAAUAAUAGUAAAUGUCACAGCAUUUCUAUCCAUCUUUUUUCACACCUAUUGGUAAGGGUAGCAGCGUGGCUGACUCGACCUCAUCUGCCUGGUGGGCACCAGCGGACAAAGCUCCACUCGAUUACGAAGAACCAGCUGUAGUGUGAGCCUGUGCCUUUUCGUUUGGUCAUGGAGUGGAUCUUUCGACUUGGAAGGGAAAAAGGGAGGAAGGGAGGAGGACCCACAGUCCAGUGUCGUCGAAAUAUGGUCUAUAUGAGUUGCAUGUGUGGCACCCUUGCUCUAUAUUUUCACGUGGCAGAGAAUAUUUCCAGCGACUUCGAAGUUUGAAGUCGUUUUCCAAUCGUAUAUGGCAGCUGGGAAUGGUGGGUGCAUCUGACUCAUCUUUGAUGGGAUCUGCCGGGAAAGUAGUGUGGAUCCAAGAUUUAUUUAUAUAUAUAUAUAUAUUGAGUUACAAGCUUUGGUCCUGUUGGCUAACUUUCCUGCUAAGUUUAUAGAAAAUAGAUGGCUUUAAAUACGUUUUCUAGUUGUUUUUAUUUCUUUUUGGAUAAUUAAUUUAAAAAAUAUAUAUAAAAUUUACGAAAACAUUUCAAGUUCCUAAACAAACUUUUUUUCUAUAAAACAUUCUUUCAAAAAACCAUGAUGCCGUUUGGUAACGGUUUUUUAAAACAGUUUUGAAAAAUGGUUUUUUAGAAAAUUGUUAUUUGAAUUUUUGUAAAACAAAAAUUUGUUUUGGAAUCUAAAAUAUUUUUAAUCUAUUUUUAAUAUUUUUGAAAAAUAUUUUUUUAUGUCUAAAACUUUAUUUUUAAUCAUUAUACAUGUUUGUAUAAUUAUUUUUUUAAACGGUUCUUAAAAAAUAAAUGAAAACAAUUAAAAAAACUAAAAGAUGUUUUAUAAAAAUAUCAUAUUUUUCAUAUUUUUUGUUUUUGAGAAUAGAAAAUAGAAAAUAGAAAAUAGAAAACAGAUUUUUGGUUAUCAAAGGUAUUUUUCAAUUUUUUUUAUUUUAAAAAAUAAAAAAUUAUCCUAAAAAACAGGUAUCAUAUAGAACCUAUACUUUGUUUAAAAACAAAAUAACGAAGAAGAAAGAAGAGCAACUAUAAAGGUUUAUUUGAUUAAAAAAUUCAUUGAAAAUAAUGAUCUUCCUUCUUUGAAAAAACUGAAAUUAUAACUUCUUUUCAAUAAAAAUAUCUUUUAACAAUUUUUGAAUUUUUAUCCCUCAUUAAACAGUUUUUUUUUUUAUUUAUAGAAAGGGGUAAAAAUGUCAAAACAAGGUUAUAUAUGUAAUUUGCAGUACAUAAAAUUUAUUUAUUUUUCAACAUUUUCGCAUCCCUUAUAAUCAAAUAUUUCGAUGAAAAACUAUUUUUUGAACUUGAAAAUAAGUUUGAUAAUUCUUUGAUAGAAAAUUUAUUUUGAAAAUGCGACAUUUUUUUAGAAUAUAUUUUAAGUUAUAAACAAACUUAAUUGUUUUUGAAAAAAUUUAAAAAGAAGAUGAUUUUUUUUAUCCGACAUUAUAAUUAAAGUGAAGAAAAUAAUAUGAGAAAAAAGAGAGGAAAAUAUUAAGGGAAAAAUGAAGAGGAAAAAUAUGAGGGACAAAAAUAAAAAGAAAUUUUUUGUUUAGUUGAAUCAAGGAAAAACAAUAUUAAAUCAUUUAAAGAAAAUAUUCCUUGGUAUUACUUUCAUAGUUUUUUCUUUGGUAUAAAAAAAAAGAAAAAAAAACCAUUUUCCUUAACUCUUUUUUCAUACAUCCAAAUAUUAGAAAAUGAUUGCUUUUAGUUUUUUUUUUUUUUUUCAUUUCUUAUUAUUUUUCAAAAAUCAAACAUAAUUUUAGAUAAAUGUAAAAAAAAAAAAAGCAAAAUGUAUUAUAAGUUAUUUUAAAAAUCAAAUUUAUCCAUUAAAAUUCAUAUUAAAAAUAAAAUUUCAAAUAUUAAGGGUUUGUUUAAUUUGAUAAUUGUUUUCGAGAAUAGUUUUAUAUUUUUUAGAACAAAAAAAUUGGAAAACAUAUUUGGCAACCAAAAAACCAUUUUAUGUUUUAUGUUCCCAAAAUUAGAAAAUAUGAUAUUUUCAAAAAAUAUCUUUUAGUUAUUUUCAAUUAUUUGUAGUUGUUUUUGGAAAAUUGUUUAAAAAAAAUAAUUAUACAAACAUGUAUAAUAAUUAAAAAUAAAUCUCUAGAUAUAAAAAUUAUUUUUAAAACAUAUUUAAAAUAUUAAAAAUAAGUUAAAAACUUUUCAGGUUUUUAAACAGACUUUUAUUCUAGAAAACAUCAAAGAAUAGUUUUAAAAAAAAUUUCAAAACUGUUUUUAAAAACGGUUACAAAAUAAGGGCAUAAGCUUCUAACAUUAUGAGUACAUAAAGAGAUAGAGAAAACACUUUCCAUAUUUUAAAAGUCUUAUGAAUCUAAGAAAAUGCUAAAAAUAGGAGAAAAAAAAGUAAAGAAAAAAUGUAAAUUCUUUUAUUUAUUUAUUUUAUGGCAAAAAGUAAGAAUUAAAAUUAAAUAUAAUAAAAAUUAUUUAAAAUUUUAUAGAUAUUCAAAUACUAAUUUAUAUAUAUAUAUAUAAGAUAAGGGUAAAAAUAGAAAAAUAAGGCAUGUUUGGUAACUGUUCUGGGAAAUAGUUUUGAAAAAUAAUAUUUUGAAAACUGUUCUUUGAUAUUUUGUAGAAUAAAAGUAUGUUUGAAAACAUAAAAUUUUUUAAUAUUUUAAAAUAUGUUUUAAAAGUAAUUUUUAUAUCUAAUAUUUUUAUUUUUAAUCAUUCUAUAUGUUUGUAUAAUUAUUUUUUAAAAUAGUUCUCAGAAAACAAAUGAAAACAAUAAAAAACAAUCAAAAGAUGUUAUCUAAAAACACUCUUAAAAACAUAAAAUAGAAAAUAAUUUUUGGUUAUAAAACAUAUUUUCAUAGUUUUUUGUUUUGAAGAAUAGAAAACUAUUAUAAAAAAUAGUUAUCAAACAGAUCCAAGAAAUUAACGAUACUUCUUUAUCUUUUGAGUCGUUUUGCCAAAUUAGUCCCUUAAGACCUUUGGUUUUUGCCUAGACCGAUGAAAAAAAUGGGAUCACUUUUUAUGGACUUGUUGAAAAUGAUUCUAAUAUAGUUUAGAACCUAUUAGAAAUAAGAAGACGAUCUAGUGGGAUCCUCAUGAAUAGAAAAAGAUGAUAGUCAAUUUGAUAAUAAUGAUAUUACUUUUUUAGAACUAAGGAAUACCUCAUAUAAUGUUCAAAAAUUCAAAUUUACAUAAUAAAAACUUUAUGCAUAUUCCGAAAUAAUUUUAAAAAAUAGUUUUCAAUUAUUUUCAAGAAUAAAUUUGGAAACUCAAAUAAAAUAAUUUAAAAAACAUUUUUUUCUUGCAUGAUACAAUUUUAAAAGCAUUAUCUUUAUUUUAGUUGUAGUUAACAAUUUAUAAAAUAAUACAACUAAAAUACCUGAACUUUAAAAAAUAAUUCGCUUGGAGAGUAAUUAAUUUUUAAAAAAAAUAUAUAAAAAAGUGUUUUAAUUAGAAAAUUAUUUUCUAUUUCAGAUGGGGGUUUUAUGUACUUUCCUUCCUCUUUCUCUCCCAUUUCCCUACCUUUUUCUCAAACUUGUGGACAUCCAAGCAGAGCGUCUAUAUAAGGAGAUAUGACACAUCCCCUGAGAAUAUGGGGACACGUGAGAAGACAAAGACAAGGGAAGAAAAUGGGGGAGACGCUGGGGAAUUUGGGGUCUGUAAUGGCGACAUUGAUGUUCAUCUGGGCUAUGUUCCGGCAAUACUUCCCUUGCGACCACAUCGAAAAAUACUCCCACAAAUUGAUGAAGUUUUUCUACCCUCACAUCCAAAUCACUUUCGAUGAAUACGGCAGAGGUCAUUUCAUGCGCCAUGAAUUCUACACCGCCAUCGAUACCUACCUCAGCUCCAAUACCGCCGACCAAGCCAACCGCCUCAAAGCCAACACCGCCAAAAACAACCAGUCACUGGUUCUCACCAUUGAUGACGGUGAAGAGGUUGAAGAUGAGUUUGAGGGAGUGAAGCUGUGGUGGACUUCAAGGACGAUCACAGCCGAAACUCGGACCUCCCACUCCUAUGAGCAGCCGGAUGAGAAGAGGUACUACCGGCUGACUUUCCACAAGAAACACCGGGAUUUGAUCACCAAGAAGUACCUCAGUCAAGUUUUGACACAAGGGGAGGCGAUUAAGGUCAGAACCCGGCAGCGGAAGCUUUAUACCAACAGUUGGUCGAUGUGGAGCCAUGUGGUUUUUGAUCACCCUGCAACUUUUCAAACGCUUGCCAUGGAGGCUGAUAAGAAGAGGGAGGUGAUCGAGGACUUGGUUUCUUUCAGCCAGGCUAAGGAUUUCUACGCAAGAAUUGGGAAAGCUUGGAAGCGGGGUUACCUCCUUUAUGGCCCUCCUGGGACGGGAAAAUCUACCAUGAUUGCUGCCAUGGCGAAUCUGUUGCUGUACGACGUCUAUGAUCUUGAACUGACGGCGGUCAGUGACAACACCGUGCUGAGGAAGCUGCUGAUGCAGAUUCCGAGCAAGUCCAUCACUGUGAUUGAGGACAUCGACUGCUCCCUCAACUUGACGGGUCAGAGGAAGAAGAUGAAGGAGAACAAGGCGGCCGAGGAGGAAGAGAAGGGCCCCAUUAAAAAACAAGCGAAGGUAGGAGACUCUGAUGAAGGGAAAACCAGCAAGGUGACUCUCUCCGGGCUGUUGAACUUCAUUGACGGCCUUUGGUCGGCCUCCAAGGGGGAAAGGCUAAUAGUGUUCACGACGAACUACAUGGAGAAGCUCGACCCAGCUCUGAUUCGGCGAGGAAGGAUGGACAAGCACAUCGAAUUAUCAUACUGCAGCUUUGAAUCAUUCAAGGUGCUGGCUAAGAAUUAUCUGGAGCUUGAUUCCCACCACCUGUUCGACACGAUUGAGAGGCUGUUGGGGGAAAGUAAAGUGACCCCAGCUGAUGUUGCUGAGCAUUUGAUGCCUAAGACAAGUGUGGCUGAUGUUGAAACAAGCUUGAAGAGCCUGGUUCAGGCAUUGGAGAUGGCCAAGGAACAAGCAAUGUUGAAGGCCAAG